CACAUUCUGCCACAUUCCCACUGCCCCAAAUCCAUUCGUUGCCAUUCUCUACCUGUCCACCAGAGGCCCUCAGACUUUUCCACCUGACUCCCUCAUCCACCUGCUCACCUGUUUCCACUUUCCCUCAUCAGCCCUGCAGUGCAGUAUGUAACCGGCCCAUUUCUACUCAUUCCCUGGCUGUCAGCUCAUCACAGUUGUCAUGUAUGUGCUUUUUGCUUUUGCUUUCUAGCUUCUGUAAUCUGAAACUUGGAACCUGAAAUGUGUUACCUGCCUGUUUCGAGCUGCUAUAACUGAUCUUUUGGACUUUGGAUUUCCUGCCUGACUCUUCUGAUGUUUUGCCUGUUUGGACUGCCUUCCCGUUUUCACCCUUGCCUGGCUCAUGAUUCCUUCUUCCUGCCUCGAUUGUCUGUUGAUCACUGUAAUCUGGCCCAGUACUGACCCAGGUUAUGACUCAUGCUCUGCUGAUCAGCUCCUGGAACCUGGACUGGCACUGAAACGCCGGGUGAUAUGAGCCCUGAAGAGAGGGAGAAGAAAGGUUUCAUUUCAGCAAGCAGUCAGAGGAUUUAAUAAAGGGACUCUGCUCUGUGACGACGACAUGCUUUAGUAAACUUUGGACGGUGCUGAUGAAUGAUGAAUGAUGAAAUGUCCAAACCUGGACUCCAGAUGAGAAAACUGACAGGGAGCUGUAGCUGGGCAGGGACGACUCAGCCUGACUCAACAUGGACCCUGGAGAGAGAGAGAAGACACACACGGAGCGAGACGUGUAGUGACCUGGUGUUUACCUGAACUGCUGCCGUGCUGCUGAUGAUGAUAGACGGAUGUGUUGAAGGAAGUGGUCAGAGGGGCUUGGCUCUGUGAACAGGAAGUUGCGUUCCCUGUCCUCCUUUGAUUGCGCAGCUU
This is a long non-coding RNA of Sebastes umbrosus (honeycomb rockfish), 900 nucleotides long. RefSeq lists it as uncharacterized. The record is from RefSeq and is a predicted model, not a curated record. The transcript is spliced from 4 exons. NCBI's taxonomy places the organism in Eukaryota, Metazoa, Chordata, Actinopteri, Perciformes, Sebastidae.